GGCUUAACCGUUACAAUUUAAUCCGUCGCAAUCCUUACAAUAAACCAUUAACACAGUUAUGUUUUAUCAUACAUAUUUGAUAUUAGUGACCUUGCAAUAGUAGUUAAGUUUUCAUAUAUAUUUUUUAUAUUUGCAUAAAUGUAAAUAUGCGAUAUUAAUGGUAGGAUACAUUCCCUCAGGAUUUUGAAGAACGGGAGGCCUGUAUCGGUUGGGGGGGGGCAUUCUUUUAGCCAUCCCGUCGAUAUUACAGGUCCGUUGGCGUAGCUGGGAGCCGGACGAAACGCGUUCCUUCGGAGUGGGCAGAGAGAGCAGGUUGACCCCGUCACGGCCCCCUGUAUCACCGUGGGGACUGCAGCCGCCUCAGCAAAAAACGACCGGGAGGUGGGAAGGGCACAGCACAUGGAGUGCCGUGGUCCUCAGAACAUGGGGUUACCAGGGUCAUCGGUGCUGAUCCUGGAUCGUGAGCUGAGCUGUUCCUGGGGCCGCUGCAAAGGGUAGUGGAUCGCACCCUGCGCUAUGGACCCAGUUACCAGAAUUUCAGUACCACUGACGGUCAACAGUCCUGGGUCUUCCGUGGGUCGACUCAAACUCAGAGGACCUCCAUAAACCACCCGCCUGGCGCCGCUUCUGCAUCGUCCACGGCCCUCGGCUGCAGCAUUACACAUGGGUAAAGUGCGGUGAGGCCUUCCAAGAUGUUUGUCCGGAGCCAUGGUGGCUUGUCUUCCCUGUUCAUGGGACUGGCUUCACUGGCAUCAUCUACAGUCUGUGCUGGAAAGCUGCCAUAGAGCACAAAAAGAGAAGCAGAAGAAGAUGGUUUAGACAUUGAAGGUUUCACCCACCAGAAUGCAGCGUACAGCGCUUGUGCACUCAAGGCUUUCUAGGUUCCUGCACAAUGUUCUUACCUUCCAAGCUACGAUUACGACACACAUACCUCGACAUUGUCUCAGAAAGAUGGAUAUGCAUUUGAAGAUUCUUUAGUUAUUUUUUUCAUCACUGCCUUGUGGUAGGUGUAGAGAUAUCAUAGUGUGAACUGAUACUGCUGAGAUCCUAAUUUAUACGCCAGGUAGCUGAUUCAUCUUCUUGGUUCUUUCGUGACUUUACCGACUUUACCGAAAGAACCAAGAAGAUGAAUCCCUGCAGUCACGAAAGCUUUAAAUCAAAGGUAGCUGAUUGAGAUAAAACUGGGCUUUAAAGUGAAGCGAGUUUGUUUUAAUUAAAUCCUAGUUCUGAGAGUUAUGUGAUGGAAGUCAUAUAUGUUUCCAUGGACCAUUGUCUAACAUGGGGUGAUGCUGCAAGAGAAUGGGCAUGGAUGAAUAAUUUUGGAGCAUGAUGCUUAAUGCACAUGAGUUAAUUGUAUCAUCGAUGAAGCUUGAAAAUGUGUGCCAGACUGCAAACGACACGUCAAUUAGUUGUGUGUAGCUACUAGAUAAGAGCUUUUUGUUUCAGUUUGUUUUUCUUCAAGUCGCUUUAACAUGAGGGACUGACUUUUCCAAAUUUUCCCCAAAAAGUUAUUUCUGCAAUGAUAUUUUUUUGUGACGAUAGGCCCACAGUGAUGACAUCACCUUUAUUGCGUUAUUGAAGAACAAAACACGAGGAUGUCUUCACAAUUCUGGCUAUUGACUGAUGAAGCUGGUUGUAAUCAGCGAAAUAUUGUUCUCCAAUGGUAAAUGUUGUGGGUUUACUCCAAAACACUGGUGUGCUGAAGUAGUCACGUACUGGAACAAACCUUGGCUGUGUGGGGUAGUGGUGGGUUUAACAACACAUUUAUAUUUAUUCAAUCUAUCCCAAAAAUACCUUUAUUAUGGACAUUGCUUUAUAUGCGGGGUAGAUAGGGAGGGGUGUGACAUGUGAACUCGCCUAACAAAGCGCCAUUAUAGAAGCCUUGCACCAAGACACAGCGAUCAGCCCCAUGGAACGCAGAACGGCCAUCAUAACGGUCUUGUAGACUGCGUCCACAGACAAGGAAGGAGCAAACCACAUUCAGCAAGUUAACCCCAGUAAAAUAUCAACAAAAUAUCAACUCUCAUUUCUAAUUAGUGAGGGUUAGGGACUUACAAAGUUAGGGUUUGGAGUUGGGGCUAUGUUAGGGUUUAGAGUUACAGAUAGGGUUUGGAGUUAAGGCUAGAGUAGGGUUUGGCAACUAAAAUAACAGCCAUUUUUGUCGAAUUCGUAAAAAUAUUUUUCAAUGCACAUGAAUACGAGAUGGUAUUUAAUAAAUAACUUUAUGACGCAAUUCUUUAAGGGCCACAUACCUUUCCUGAGCCACAGGUUUCCAACCCCUGUGGGACAGGGAUAAUGAUAUUUUUGGAUUGCACUCUCAUGUUCACGUCCUUUGGAUUGCACUCAUGUUCACGUCGUUUGGAUUGCUCUCUCAGGGUCCUAAUCUGUCAUUGACACUGCUGUUGUGCGCAUAUGCGGGCAUGAUACUCUUAUGCAGAGACGGAAGCUCAUGCUAAUCUCCCUCCCUAAUCCCUCUCUCCCUAAUAUCCCCCAUUAACAAAUCUGAAGUGCUUGCGUCCGUGGAUGGAAUUCCUUUCCAGCUCAGACCCCGCUUGCUUGCCAAUCGCCACAUAAAUUAACUGUGUUGUAACUGCUCUCUUGCUGGUUCAGCAGUUACACUGCUGGAUUAUAUUUUUUCCGCCUGAGGACGACCGCUUGUGUUGCGAUCGAAACGUUGUGAUUUAUUUUAUUUUAUACCUACGUGACUUUACCGAAAGAACCAAAAGAGUAUGGAUUCCUGCAGUCACGAAAGCUUCAAAUCAAGAUUGAUAAUGAUAUUCUUAUUACCUGGAGGUUUUUGGGCCACGUUAGGUGCCUGAAGGAUGGCCGUGGUGCUGGUUUGAGUGGAAGUCAUUGUGGUUGUCACGCUGCGCAUGCGCUUGAUCCAACCAAACAUUCCCAUCGCAGGCUCUGCUCCUGAAUGACCAACCGGCAGAACCAAUACGUCGUAGGGAUAGGUAUCUGUUGUGUCUUGACCCUCCAGAGCAACCCCGGACUCACUCCUUAAUCAGACCAGAGGCAGAGAAGCUUCAACAUGAACGAGUGCUUUACUGAACGACUCCGGGAAGUGGCCCCAAACCCCAGGGACAGCGGUCCUUUAUACAGUGAGGGAAAAAAGUAUUUGAUCCCCUGCUGAUUUUGUAUGUUUGCCCACUGACAAAGAAAUGAUCAGUCUAUA
This is a long non-coding RNA of Lethenteron reissneri (Far Eastern brook lamprey), 3178 nucleotides long. RefSeq lists it as uncharacterized. The record is from RefSeq and is a predicted model, not a curated record. Lineage: Eukaryota; Metazoa; Chordata; Hyperoartia; Petromyzontiformes; Petromyzontidae.